CAUCGCCCAUCACUCCUACCGAUUGAAUGGUCCGGUGAAGUGUUCGGAACGUGGUGAUGCGGGUGGUCCGUCGCUGGCAACGUCGCGAGUAGUCCACUGAACCUUAUCAUUUAGAGGGAGAAGAAGUCGUAACAAGGUUUCCGUAGGUGAACCUGCGAAAG
This 161-nucleotide non-coding RNA is filed under the name Ananas comosus (pineapple). RNAcentral's name for it is "Eukaryotic small subunit ribosomal RNA". It matches the Rfam family "Eukaryotic small subunit ribosomal RNA", at positions 1667 to 1823 of the family's 1831-position model. Lineage: Eukaryota; Viridiplantae; Streptophyta; Magnoliopsida; Poales; Bromeliaceae. The record is from Rfam by way of RNAcentral.